This 72-nucleotide transfer RNA is filed under the name Phrynosoma platyrhinos (Desert horned lizard). Its description in RNAcentral is "tRNA-OTHER". Lineage: Eukaryota; Metazoa; Chordata; Lepidosauria; Squamata; Phrynosomatidae. The record is from RNAcentral.
GCCAGAGUGGUGUAGUGGUUUGAGUUUUGGACUACAACUCUGGAGUCCAGGGUUCAAAUCCCUGCUGAGUCA